GGCUCAUUAAAUCAGUUGUGGUUCCUUAGAUCAUACCACAUCCUACUUGGAUAACUGUGGUAAUUCUAGAGCUAAUACAUGCCGAGAGUACCUCGAGCCCGCGAGGGCGAGGGGAGCCUUUAUUAGACCAAAACCAAUGGGUUGUGGCUUGUCCACUUCCCUUUCCCUUGGUGACUCUGAAUAACUUUGUGCUGAUCGCAUGGCCUUGUGCCGGCGACGUAUCUUUCAAGUGUCUGCCUUAUCAACUUUCGACGGUAGAUUACAAGCCUACCGUGGUUAUAACAGGUGACGGGGAAUCAGGGUUCGAUUCCGGAGAGGGAGCCUGAGAAACGGCUGCCACAUCUAAGGAAGGCAGCAGGCGCGCAAAUUACCCACUCCCGGCACGGGGAGGUAGUGACGAAAAAUAACGAUACGGGACUCGUCCGAGGCCUCGUAAUUGGAAUGAGUACAAUCUAAAUCCCUUAACGAGGAUCUAUUGGAGGGCAAGUCUGGUGCCAGCAGCCGCGGUAAUUCCAGCUCCAAUAGCGUAUAUUAAAGUUGUUGCGGUUAAAAAGCUCGUAGUUGAAUCUCAGUUCUGGACGUGCACGGGUCCGCCAACACACUGGUGGACUGCUGACAUGCCUGGAGCAAAACCGCCCGGCUUGUCCCACGGUGCUCUUAACCGAGUGUUGUGGGUGGCCGACAUUUUUACUUUGAGAAAACCAGAGUGCUUAAAGCAGGCGCAAGACGCCCGAAUGACUGUGCAUGGAAUAAUGGAAAAGGAUCUCGCUUCUGUCUUUGUUGGUUCUUCGGAAGGCGAGAUAAUGAUUAAUAGGGACAGACGGGGGCAUUCGUAUUGCGACGUUAGAGGUGAAAUUCUUGGAUCGUCGCACGACGAACUACUGCGAACGCAUUUGCCAAGAAUGUUUUCGUUAAUCAAGAACGAAAGUUAGAGGUUCGAAGGCGAUCAGAUACCGCCCUAGUUCUAACCAUAAACGAUGCCAACUGGCGAUCCGCCCCAGUUAAAUGUACGACUGGGCGGGCAGCCUCCGGGAAACCAAAGUCUUUGGGUUCCGGGGGAAGUAUGGUUGCAAAGCUGAAACUUAAAGUCAUUGACGG
RNAcentral lists this ribosomal RNA (1098 nucleotides) under Vargula norvegica. Its description in RNAcentral is "SSU rRNA". It matches the Rfam family "Eukaryotic small subunit ribosomal RNA", at positions 95 to 1159 of the family's 1831-position model. The record is from RNAcentral. Lineage: Eukaryota; Metazoa; Arthropoda; Ostracoda; Myodocopida; Cypridinidae.